CCCACCUGAGGGACGACGGACUAGUUCCGGGAUUCCGAUGUCGGCCUAGCAAGCGAGCUAAGUAGUUUGCUAGCGGCUAACUCAAGGAGGACCGAAACGACCCACACCCUACAGACAAGACAGGUCCCUUCUUCGACAUUAGGGACACCCCGGAGCUUACCCACAAAGCCAAAGGGUGAAAGAAAACGGGGAGCCAAAGAUAAAAAAGGACUAAAAUGUGUCAGACUACAUAAGAACAUCCAUGCUGCAAAUGGCUUUCUUUAAGAGGUGCAAAAUGGGAAAGGAGAUCUAUCUGCAGAGAAUUUGGAGGUGGGAGAGCAAGCUACACCCAGAUCCAGCCAAGUGCGGUUACACCUUGGUGACAUACUCGGGGCUUCUUUACGGAAUGAGUUGAUUUUAUCCCCAUAUUGACACAAAGACUGAAGACAAGGGUCUGAAGAGAUCCAGGGGUCUCUGUUCAGCUAUUGGACCUAUUUUAUUUGCAAAGACAAGGCUGGACGUCUUUUGUUUUGUGUUUUCUUUUUUUUAGUAGCUUUUUAAAAACUAAAUUCCAGCUGGACUUUUUUGAUGUUAAGCAGCUUCCCACAACUGGUUUAAAAGUACAUUUGUUUGUUUGGUUGUUUUCCCCUGCUGACUUAGUUUGAAAUGCUGGAACUGUCCCUCCUGCCGUCAUCCUCAGUUUCUUCCACCCACCCAGUGCCUAAAUAAGCCCUCUCGGGACUAUCACAGAAGUCAUCAGCAGCUGCUGCUCUCAAUCCUCUGCCUGUUCUACUCCAUGUGCUUCUGCUCUUGGCCUGCUGGCUAUCCACCCACUACCUCUUUAAUUUUCUGUGUUUUCUUUCUAUAUUCAUUUUCUUUGAGGGGGAUAAUCACAACUCGAGUAAUGUAAACACUGAGUUACAGUAGUGGAGAGAAACCUAGAUUGCUCCAGCAUUGAUUGUGUGCACAACUGUCUGUUCUUUUGUGUACAUGCACAGCAGUGUUACAAUUGCACUGGUGCCAAGGAGCAGUUAAAGCUUAGAUUUAUUUAUAUUGUUGUACCAAAUACAGUUUAAGCCAUACAAAAAUAUUUAUGAAAUUACCUACAUGUAUUUUUGUAUCACAUUGCUCUUGUAUGGUUUUGCUUUUGUAAGCUUCUAUUAAGAUUAUGCAUACAAAUUAAAUAUUUACGUGACAGCCGUGCACAUGCAAGUAGAGCUGUAUAUUGCUAUAUAAAAACACCCUCUGAUUUUUUGUGAUUAAAUUAUUGCUGGGAGAUAUUCAGAGUCUGCACACAGAAAAUCCCUCAUGUUUCCUUUCAGUUGCUGGUUUGCAUAGUGUUGUUUUUCUCGUCCGGUGUAUAGUCAUGGCCCCUCCUCCCAGAAAAACACUGUAUUCCCUGUGUUGACUGGUAAAGCGUCCCUUUACAGUAGGUAGACAGUAGAUAUCUACCUCUCUCUCUGUCUUCCUCUAUCUGUCUCUGAUGCCGGGCUUCAGUGGUGGGGGGGUUGGGGGGGGAGUAGGUGGCCCAGCCUCUGCUCCUCCCCGUCCAUUCCGACCCAGCCGAUAUGUUCCGGUGUCUGCAGCCACCACUUUCCUUGUUGGAUCCACAACCCUGUUCUUCUGCUUCACGUGCCCAUGGUUGUCAGAGUAUUUCUCCUCUGUCAUUCCCAUCUACAAUGCUGUGAUCUUCCUCUUCACCCUCGCCAACUUCUGCAUGGCCACUUUCAUGGACCCUGGAGUCUUCCCCAGAGCGGAGGAGGAUGAGGAUAAAGAGGAUGAUUUCCGAGCUCCACUCUAUAAGACAGUGGAGAUCAAAGGCAUCCAGGUGCGCAUGAAGUGGUGCUCAACCUGCCGCUUCUAUCGCCCGCCGCGCUGCUCACACUGCUCAGUCUGCGACAACUGUGUCGAGGAUUUUGACCACCAUUGUCCUUGGGUGAACAACUGUAUUGGCCGGAGGAAUUAUCGCUAUUUCUUCCUCUUCCUGUUAUCUCUCACCACCCACAUCAUAGAUGUAUUUGGCUUUGGUUUGGUUUAUGUCCUGCAUCACCGCCAGCAGCUUGACACGCCACAUGCUGCUGUAACUAUGGCUGUGAUGUGUGUGGCUGGUCUGUUUUUUGUCCCAGUGGCUGGCCUGACUGGGUUCCACAUAGUGCUGGUGGCCCGCGGUAGGACCACAAAUGAGCAGGUGACAGGGAAGUUUCGAGGAGGCGUUAACCCCUUCACCAACGGCUGCUUGAGGAAUAUUUCACAUGUGCUCUGCAGCUCCCAGGCGCCCAGAUACAUGGGCCGGUGGCGGAGUCAACAGGCAGUGGAAGUGCAGCCACCAUUUCUUAGACCGCCUCUCACUGAGGCCCAGUUAGAAGCCAAAAUCCUGGACAACGGCAUCCAGAAUGACCGACACAGCACCAGGUCCAAGAGCAGUCUAGAUCAGAUGGAGAGCCAGUCAGCUGAUGCAGAGCCUCCACCUCCUCCGAAGCCGGAGCUUCGUUACCCCGGCCUGCCUCGUGCUGACACAGAGGAGAGCAGCUUGUUGACUGAAGCUCCACCUACACCAUCGAUGUACAAGUACCGACCACCCUACAACAGCCCAGGAAGGAAUCACACGGCCCUCACACAUCCGAAUAAGAUGAUCCGUGGGGAGAGUCUUGACUCUCCAUCUCCCUCCAUCCUGCAGUCCAGUCGCCAGCCCAGCUACCGCUCGGAGCCGAGCAGCCUGGACGGGGCCACAGUGGUAGGGGGAGGUGUAGGGGUGCGCAGAGGGGGAGGGGAGAGGGGUGAGGGCCCCGGAGGCCCUGGCGGGACUGCUGGGGGGGUGUUAGGGGGCAUGUCAGGCUACUCGCUGACUGGGCGCUCCUACACCUCCUACCCAUCCUCUCUGGUUCUGUCCACUGGCGGCUCACGCUCCUCCAGCCUGCGCUCAGCACACACUGCACAUAACCCGCUGACUACGCUCCAAUCAGAGGGCACCACAGACACCAGCUACAAGAGCCUGGCCAAUCAAACACCUCGGAAUGGCAGCCUGUCCUACGACAGCCUGCUGACACCAUCUGAGAGCCCAGAGUUUGAGUCAGCCGCCCAUGAGCUGUCGCCGCAGAAGCCUCGUGCUCCGUUUCCCUCGGCGACUAUAACAGGCCAGCCUGAGGUGGUGUCUCCCAGUAGCCCGCUGCAGGGCUACACGUCGCCCUUCCUCUCAGCUCAGAUCGCCCAGCAGAGGGAGGGGCAGCUGCUCCAGGGCUCUGCCACUUUCUCCUCCCCCCAUAGGGCCUACCUGCGUGCUGUCAGCCCCCCUCCCUCCUCUGGGCCUCCUGAGACCCAGCACCUGCUUCAGCAUAACCAGGACUUCUCUUCUUCCCGAGCCCCUCGUAACCCUUCCUCCUCAUCCUCUUCCCCUGGGGCUCGCUCACUGGAGCCCCCUGUCUCCCCGCCACCUCGUGGCCUCUCCCUGGGCAAGUCUCUGUCUUACACCGGGGAGGCAGGGCCUCAGCACAAGCCUCGGCCUGCAGGAGGAGGCACUGUGCUGGGAGGGGGAGGAGUCGGAGGAGGGCAACAGGCUCCACAGUGAGUAGUGAUCCGCCACCAGAUCCGUCAGCCAGCUACUAUUCCUCCUCCUCCUCCUUUUUCUCCUCCUCUUCCUUCCUGGUUUGUGUCAGCCCUCCUCUUCUUACCAGAUCUGUAUCCACCUCUCGCCCAGUCUUGGCCAAUCACACCACAUCCAAACCAGGAGGAGGGGUGAAGAAGGUAACCGGCGUUGGAGGGACCACGUAUGAGAUAUCGGUUUGAGUGACAAACAUCCCACAUGGUCUUUUACAAAGAGGGGGGGAAAAGUCACCGGACAACUUCCACUUGUCUCUUACCAGAGCUGGAUAUUAUUCAUGACUUCAGGCUCCUAAAAAAAUGACUGUUUUCUGCUGCAAUGGACUAAUGGAGCAGGCCUGUCUGGUACUCACUUUGUUAUCUUUGUAACGCCACUGGCCAUUGUUCUCUGCCAGCCUUUCAGAUUUGAACAAAUGGUAACUGGGGACACUGGUUCAUUUUUUCACAGGAUCAAUCGUCUCCAUUUUUCCACUUUGUGAGCCAUAGACUGAUGUGACUAUCAUCACGGCUGGGUACAGAUACGUCUAUAGAACAUGCAUAGCUUUUCAAUGAUUUGCUGUUUUACUUUGGUACAUUAGCACACAGAGUAUUGACAGCAGUGUCCGACACUUAAGGAAAGGAUGGCCUUUAUCUGAUGGAUGUAAAAUUUCAAGAGGGAGGUUUUAGGACAGUUGACCAAUAGACACGUCUGAACGGACCACGCAGCUUGUUUAUUGAUAAGAAUAUUGGAGGGAAGGAUCCAACUUAUAAAGACAGUAUCAUUUUAGUUUUAUAAAUAUAUUUUUUUUAAAUAUUGUUUUAUAUAAUUGUAUAAAAUCUUACAGAUUAUUAUUGGGUCAAAUCGUCAGGUACUGAAGAUGACUAUUGAUGAGGGUGGCAGAUGUACUGUAUGUAAUUAUUCAUGAAAGCGAUUUUAAAUCAGUUGCCUGUUUAUCAUUGAUGGCUGCAUCAGCCAUUCACAAGUUCUUGCUGGAAUUUUCAUCAUCUAAAGAGAAUACUGAUCCUUCAGUGGACACCUGAAGUGGCAAAUGUUGGAGCUUAAUUUUUGAAAGCCACAAAGAAAUUUUGAUUCUCAUGAUUGCAGCACAAGCAUCUUUGUGGAAUGUACGCUUGUAAUGUUUGUGCUAGAGACAUUAUGCAAAAUCUGUUUGUAGCUUUAAAGUUCAUCGUACGUCUUUUGGUGUUUAUUUUGUUUCUCCUUUUCUGUAAUGUUUUGUCUUUCAGUCAACCACAAUGCUAGCAACGUUAUACCUUUAACAGAUGGCCAGCCAAAUAGGAGCAGCGAGGGAAGGGCUUAUUUAUUUCACCAGACAAAACAACGUUGUAGAUCUGGACAGUUUCAAACCAGUCUCAAUUCUUUUUUAUUUUUAAGACAGAAAAGAGUAAGUAGGAAUAUUUUUUACAAAAAAAUGUUUAUAAACAGAAAUUGUAAAUGCGAUAAGCCACUUAAUAGAAUAAGGAGGGACUGUUUUGAAAUUCAGAGACUGUGUAAUUUGUUUUUGCCUUGAGACCAUUCAUCGUAAAGCAAGCGUGUUUUUAUCUUUUUCUAUUGAUUUAGAUUUUAUACACUUUUCUGAAAAAAGUAAGGAAAGCAGAUGAGUUUUCUUUUUUUGAUUGACUUCCUAUUUUUUUUGUUAAAUUUCUGUAAAGGUACAGUUCAUGUUUUUUACCCACUGCCAUGUUUAGAAAGAAUGAAUUAGAGAAAGGGAGGUAUGUUUGUAAGCUUGUCUUUUUGGACUGGGCAUUGGAGUAAAGUUUUUUUUAUUAUUAUUUUACUUCUGUCAAAGCCCAUAGCAGUGUUUGAAGGAGAAUGUCGAAGGUGUCUGAAUGUGGCACAUCUUUUUUAGGGGGGGUGUACACGCUUGAAGCACACGAGUAUCAUCGGUUAACCCACACUGUGUUACGAGUUUUCAGCCCGACCAGGCUAUGUCUUUGGUGUGCAUGUGAUUUUUGUUCCUCGUGCUGAAUGCUUCACUGGCGUGCAUUCUUGUGAGAUUACUGUCAAACGCCCACCCGGUUCAGGUGUGGGUGGCAACAAGAAAAGAACCAUCAUUAUUGGCACAAGCAGCCGUCGUACAGAGUUUAAGAGAACCUGUGUUACUUUUCUUCCUGCUCUGGCCAACGAUGGUGGCUACAGAACAAUCUGAAACUAUGUGAGUAAAGCAAGUAUACUUCUUUGUGAGAUAAAAUAUUGCUAUUGUGGGCUGUGAUGAA
RNA transcript from Amphiprion ocellaris (clown anemonefish), 5790 nucleotides. It is a transcript of the gene named zinc finger DHHC-type palmitoyltransferase 5b, with no coding region annotated. The transcript is spliced from 12 exons. The record is from RefSeq and is a predicted model, not a curated record. NCBI's taxonomy places the organism in Eukaryota, Metazoa, Chordata, Actinopteri, Pomacentridae.